GCGGAUGUAGCUCAGUGGUAGAGCAUCUCCUUGCCAAGGAGAAAGUCGAGAGUUCGAAUCUCUUCAUCCGCU
Molecule: transfer RNA, 72 nt
Filed under: Synechococcus sp. SynAce01
Lineage: Bacteria; Bacillati; Cyanobacteriota; Cyanophyceae; Synechococcales; Synechococcaceae
Also listed under: 8 other names
Rfam family: tRNA
About the family: Transfer RNA (tRNA) molecules are approximately 80 nucleotides in length. Their secondary structure includes four short double-helical elements and three loops (D, anti-codon, and T loops). Further hydrogen bonds mediate the characteristic L-shaped molecular structure. tRNAs have two regions of fundamental functional importance: the anti-codon, which is responsible for specific mRNA codon recognition, and the 3' end, to which the tRNAs corresponding amino acid is attached (by aminoacyl-tRNA synthetases). tRNAs cope with the degeneracy of the genetic code in two manners: having more than one tRNA (with a specific anti-codon) for a particular amino acid; and 'wobble' base-pairing, i.e. permitting non-standard base-pairing at the 3rd anti-codon position.
Source: Rfam by way of RNAcentral